Molecule: ribosomal RNA, 243 nt
Filed under: uncultured Actinomyces sp.
Lineage: Bacteria; Bacillati; Actinomycetota; Actinomycetes; Actinomycetales; Actinomycetaceae
Description: partial 16S ribosomal RNA
Rfam family: Bacterial small subunit ribosomal RNA
Source: RNAcentral
CAUGCUGUAAACGUUGGGCACUAGGUGUGGGGACCUUGUGGUUUCUGCGCCGUAGCUAACGCAUUAAGUGUCCCGCCUGGGGAGUACGGCCGCAAGGCUAAAACUCAAAGGAAUUGACGGGGACCCGCACAAGCGGCGGAGCAUGCGGAUUAAUUCGAUGCAACGCGAAGAACCUUACCAAGGCUUGACAUGCACCGGUACAGUGUAGAGAUAUGCUGGCCUUUUUGGCUGGUGUGCAGGUGG